CGUUUUGCAGCACGGCAGCUAUCUGUAUCCACUAUUCUUUCAUAUAUAUAUUUGCUCACCUUAGUUCAUAGUGAUGCAGUUACAAUAUAUGUAGAGACUCCAUGAUGCCAUUGGAAAACAGUAGACUGAUCCACACAUUGCCACUAUGGCCACUAUGGCAUGCACUAAACAGAAACAAAAAUGCACUUAAUUAGUACCAUAUAUAUACUUUAUGACAAGCUUAUUCUCAAUAGAAAUUCUUUGGUUCUUUAUUAAUUCUUGGUGGAUUUUGCUUAGCAGACUGCAGGUAAGGAUCAUUUCCUUGGUGGUUUUUGUAUAUUCCUUGGUAUUUUUUGGACACC
This 341-nucleotide long non-coding RNA is filed under the name Setaria viridis. Its description in RNAcentral is "long non-coding RNA (SVIR_LNC001461)". The record is from RNAcentral. Lineage: Eukaryota; Viridiplantae; Streptophyta; Magnoliopsida; Poales; Poaceae.